Molecule: ribosomal RNA, 1182 nt
Filed under: Triticum aestivum (bread wheat)
Lineage: Eukaryota; Viridiplantae; Streptophyta; Magnoliopsida; Poales; Poaceae
Description: partial small subunit ribosomal RNA
Source: RNAcentral
AUGGCGGCCGCGCCCGGCUAUGAGGUUCCGACGCCUUUGGCCGCCCCUGUUCUUCCCUCCAUGGCGGCCGCAGGCUGGUCCUCCCUCCCGAGCGACCUCGUCCUCUGCAUCGCCGACUGCCUCCUCGACACCAACGACGUCGACUGCUAUGUGGACCUCCGCGCCGUCUGCCACAACUGGCGCUCCGCCACCGAGGACCCGAGGAGCGACGCCUCCGACCCCCGCUUCCACCCUCGCUUCUGGAUAGUCCUCGACGACGACGGCGCCUUCCAGAGCGACGGCUGCCGGGUCUUGGUCAACACGGCCACCAGCCGGUUCCUCCGCAAGCAGCUCCCGCUGCCCCGCCACUACUACGUGGUCACCACCACUGUCAACGGCUUCUUGGUCCUGGACGACAGGAGUCCACCUCACGCCGCUCGCCUCCUCAACCCUCUCACAGGCGCCGUGGUCAUUUUCAACGCGCCGGUGCCGCGGGACGCGUCCGUUGCCGUUUUCUUCUCCUCUGGCGGCACUCCGCACAAUCUCAUCGUGCUCUGCGACUCAACUCGCAAGUAUUACAGGGCUGUUCCGGACAGUGAAUGUUUCAUCGCCGGGGACAUCAAUCAUGUCUUUUACAAUUAUAUGAGGAAGGUGGUGGUCGGCAGCGUCUACUCCAAUGGUGCUGGCUGCGUAUCCGUGGCGCAGUCUAAUGUCAUCAUGGAGUAUUUGCUCGAUUUGUCGGAGAAGCUUCAGACUGAUUUCGUCAAGUUUUUCUCUGUCGACCCUCUUGGACAUCACAACGACGUCCGUUGUUUCCUAUUGCAUUUUGGUGGGGAAGUCUUUUUCAUCACAAUGGCAUUAGAACGCGUUGUUGCGGUCCUCAUCGUGGAUCCAACGGAGAAACAGGCGCUCACGCCUGUGAAGACCGUGGGCAGAUACGCCAUCUUCAUCAGCCAUCAAAGGUGCCUGGUUGUUGAUGCCGCUAAGUUCCCAUCCGUCGAGGCAGACUGUGUCUACUACACCCAAGACGUUGGUAAAUUUGCUUUCAUCUGGAAGCACAACAUCAGAGAUGGGAAAGACGAGAGGGUGUAUGAUGACAUCAAUUUCGUCAAGGAGGACAAGCAUUUUGUCUCCUCCGGCCCCCUUCCUUUCACCAUCAUCCAGCUUCUCUCGAGCUACACCAUCAACCUCAGCGAUUCUUAA